This 780-nucleotide ribosomal RNA is filed under the name Acinetobacter johnsonii. Its description in RNAcentral is "bacterial SSU rRNA". It matches the Rfam family "Bacterial small subunit ribosomal RNA", at positions 56 to 830 of the family's 1533-position model. Lineage: Bacteria; Pseudomonadati; Pseudomonadota; Gammaproteobacteria; Moraxellales; Moraxellaceae. The record is from RNAcentral.
UGCAAGUCGAGCGGGGAGAGGUAGCUUGCUACCUAACCUAGCGGCGGACGGGUGAGUAAUGCUUAGGAAUCUGCCUAUUAGUGGGGGACAACAUUCCGAAAGGAAUGCUAAUACCGCAUACGCCCUACGGGGGAAAGCAGGGGAUCUUCGGACCUUGCGCUAAUAGAUGAGCCUAAGUCAGAUUAGCUAGUUGGUGGGGUAAAGGCCUACCAAGGCGACGAUCUGUAGCGGGUCUGAGAGGAUGAUCCGCCACACUGGGACUGAGACACGGCCCAGACUCCUACGGGAGGCAGCAGUGGGGAAUAUUGGACAAUGGGCGAAAGCCUGAUCCAGCCAUGCCGCGUGUGUGAAGAAGGCCUUUUGGUUGUAAAGCACUUUAAGCGAGGAGGAGGCUACUUGGAUUAAUACUCUAGGAUAGUGGACGUUACUCGCAGAAUAAGCACCGGCUAACUCUGUGCCAGCAGCCGCGGUAAUACAGAGGGUGCGAGCGUUAAUCGGAUUUACUGGGCGUAAAGCGUGCGUAGGCGGCUUUUUAAGUCGGAUGUGAAAUCCCUGAGCUUAACUUAGGAAUUGCAUUCGAUACUGGGAAGCUAGAGUAUGGGAGAGGAUGGUAGAAUUCCAGGUGUAGCGGUGAAAUGCGUAGAGAUCUGGAGGAAUACCGAUGGCGAAGGCAGCCAUCUGGCCUAAUACUGACGCUGAGGUACGAAAGCAUGGGGAGCAAACAGGAUUAGAUACCCUGGUAGUCCAUGCCGUAAACGAUGUCUACUAGCCGUUGGGGCC